CCUACGGGAGGCAGCAGUGAGGAAUAUUGGUCAAUGGACGCAAGCCUGAACCAGCCAUGCCGCGUGCAGGAUGAAGGCUCUAUGAGUUGUAAACCGCUUUUGUACGAGAGUAAAGCACGAUACGUGUAUCUUGUUGAAAGUAGCUUACGAAGAAGGAUCGGCUAACUCCGUGCCAGCAGCCGCGGUAAUACGGAGGAUCCGAGCGUUAUCCGGAUUUAUUGGGUUUAAAGGGUGCGUAGGCGGCUUGUUAAGUUAGAGGUGAAAUGUCGGGGCGCAACCCCGGAACUGCCUCUGAUACUGGUGGGCUGGAGUAUCGUAGAGGUAGGCGGAAUGCAUGGUGUAGCGGUGAAAUGCUUAGAGAUCAUACAGAACACCGAUUGCGAAGGCAGCUUACCAAACCAUAACUGACGUUGAGGCACGAAAGCGUGGGUAGCAAACAGGAUUAGAUACCCCUGUAGUC
This 460-nucleotide ribosomal RNA is filed under the name uncultured bacterium. RNAcentral describes it as "partial 16S ribosomal RNA". It matches the Rfam family "Bacterial small subunit ribosomal RNA", at positions 338 to 795 of the family's 1533-position model. The record is from RNAcentral.